UUAUGAUGUUUAAAUAUAAUUUAUUAAUUGUUAGUAGAUGGUUUUAUCUUUGGUAUUGCAGCCAGUUUCAUAAAAAUACGCAAGCUUACAAUAUUAUUCAUUUGUAAAAUAUAUAUGAAUUAAAUUAGAUCUUUUUCAUUAAAAUAAUGAAAGACAAUAUAAAUAAACCUAUUACAAAAUCCAAUCUUUGGUUCCACACUUUGUAGCCAAUUGUAAAAAAUAUGGGCAAGAAAUAACAUAGAAUAUUUUGUACCAUAAUUGAAUCAAAACCAUUCUGAUUGCUUUUGCAAACAAUCCAAAUCUUAUAGUAAUGUACAUCGGUACUUGUAUUGUCACUACAUUAUCUGUAAAGGACAAUUUGGUAUAGUUUCUCACAUAUAUGCUACUGAUAGAUUAUCACUUUAUCAACCAGUGAAAGAGGCCCUAAACGAAUGCAGUUUGACAUAUAGUUCUCUUUCACAUUAAAAUCCGAAUAUAAUUAUUAUUUUCUAAUGUUAAGCAAAUCAACAUUUUUUAUGCUAGAAACACCACACUACUAUAAGAUUUGAGAUCACUGCUUAUAACUCACAUUUAAAUACAAGUAAUAUAUUCAAUAUAUAAUAUAUUAUAAUACACUUAACAUAAACAUAGUAUGGUUAUAUGAAUUAAUCAUGACUAUAAUUAAAUUGAAUGUGGUUCAAAUGCCAAUCCCAUUUUAUGUUUGGUUAUAAAACGGACUUUGUUCAAAUACAGAACAAACAUACUUGUAAAUAUUUGAUGACGAUUAAAAAGUACAUAUUUAAACAACUGUUACAUUUAUGGGAUUAACGAUAAGAUACUCAUACUAGACCUAGAUAGACAUAGAGAGAUAUAUGAUAGACCUAGAUAUUGUAAUAGACCAGGUGACGCUUUUUUCAUAACCUGCUUUAUGUCCAGAUCCGUUAUUAAAGAAUUCCUGUGUCUAUUAGGACAAGGGCAAACCCACAUAAGCGUACUACGUCAUCAUUUUAACAUCAAAUAUAACUUACAUGCACACAUGCAUUUUUCACUUGCAAAAACGCAUUCUAUUUCCUAUGUGUUUGUGUAUUACGCUAAUAAACAUUUAUGUACUGAUGAACAUUCAGAGAUUAAGAUUUAUAUUUGUUAUUACAAUAGACAUCAAUGUUGUAUACUAAAGUCACUUUUUGCAUUUGCAAAAACGUAUUCUAUUUCCUAUGUGUUUAUGUUUUACGCUAAUAAACAUUAAUGUACUGAUGAACAUUCAGAGAUUAAGAUUUAUAUUUGUUAUUACAAUAGACAUCAAUGUUGUAUGCUAAAUCACUUUUUGCACUUGCAAAAACGCAUUCUAUUUCCUAUGUGUUUAUGUUUUACGCUAAUAAACAUUUAUGUACUGAUGAACAUUCAGGGAUUUAGAUUUACAUUUGUUAUUACAAUAGACAUCAAUGUUGUAUGCUAAAGCCACUAGCAAUAGGGCAACACAACAUAUAAGUGCUGCAUGUUAAAACAAAAUACAUAAAUAGACAUAAUGUUUUAUCAAAUAAUAUCAACAGAUUAUAAUUAAGAAGUUGCCCACAUGUCAAAUAUUGAAAAGUAAUAUCCAAUAAUAUGCUAUCAGAUUCUUGCUAUUAAUGCUUAGGACUAAAUUUAUACUAAAGACUAUUUCAACAGAAUUUGUAUAAAGAAAAUUAAAUUAUUAAAAUAUGAAUUAUUUUAAAAAUAAUUUAAAAUAUAAUAUGAUUGAAGUUCAAAAAGAUUACUAAUACAAAUUUUAUUGAAAUGGUACCACUAUGUUACAUUUAAGAAAACAAGGAAUGG
RNAcentral lists this unclassified non-coding RNA (1794 nucleotides) under Melitaea cinxia (Glanville fritillary). RNAcentral describes it as "misc RNA ENSMCXG00005001048.1". The record is from RNAcentral. Lineage: Eukaryota; Metazoa; Arthropoda; Insecta; Lepidoptera; Nymphalidae.